Molecule: ribosomal RNA, 207 nt
Filed under: uncultured bacterium
Lineage: Bacteria
Description: partial 16S ribosomal RNA
Rfam family: Bacterial small subunit ribosomal RNA
Source: RNAcentral
CGUGUAGGCGGCCAUACAGGUCAGCUGUGAAAACUCGAGGCUCAACCUCGAGACGUCGGUUGAAACCGUAUGGCUAGAGUCCGGAAGAGGAGAGUGGAAUUCCCGGUGUAGCGGUGAAAUGCGCAGAUAUCGGGAAGAACACCUAUGGCGAAGGCAGCUCUCUGGGACGGUACUGACGCUGAGACGCGAAAGCGUGGGGAGCGAACA